GCUGACUAAUAAAAGUGUCUUCUUUGUGUCUACUCUGAUGGACUGGCUAGGAGCCAUACGAUAAUUGCCAAACUGCCCUCCAAAGAUGUUAUACCAAUUUAUAUUCCACCAACAAUAUAAAGAGUGUCUCGCCAAUCCAAAGUUUUGUCAAACAUCUGGAAAUUUGCCUAUCUGAUAUGUGAAAAAUAGUGUAAAAAAUUUGCCAACUUCUGAUACAGAAGGACAAGGAGAAGAGGAAAAGGAAGAAGAGAAGGGGAGGAGGAGGAGAAAGACGAGGAAGAGGAAGAGAAAAGGACAAAGGAGAGAAGCGGGGAAGAGGAGGAUGAGAAAAGGAGAAGGGAAGACAUUCUGAAAAUAAAUUGAAUUUUCUUGGCAUAGACUGUGCCAAGGAAAAAUAUUAAUUUGGAGAAAUAAACGAAACGGAGAUUGUAGGUUUGUUUUCCUCUUUUAUAGUCUUCCCCCUUGGUACAAGCCGAGGAGCUUUAUUUUGGUUUUAUAUUAUACUGCGGUCCACUUCACAAAGACCCACAAAUCUCUCAUCAUUUUUUUCUACCAGCCGAAGCCAGAAGUGCCUCCAGAGGUUCCAAAUCUCGUGCUUGUUCACGUAUUUAAUGAGUCCUAUGCAGGCUUCAUCCUCUUCAGAGGCGGUGACAAG
This 655-nucleotide long non-coding RNA is filed under the name Equus caballus (horse). Its description in RNAcentral is "lncRNA (ENSECAG00000054306.1)". Lineage: Eukaryota; Metazoa; Chordata; Mammalia; Perissodactyla; Equidae. The record is from RNAcentral.